CCUACGGGCGGCUGCAGUGGGGAAUAUUGCACAAUGGGGGAAACCCUGAUGCAGCGACGCCGCGUGAGUGAAGAAGUAAUUCGUUAUGUAAAGCUCUAUCAGCAGGGAAGAAAAUGACGGUACCUGAGUAAGAAGCCCCGGCUAACUACGUGCCAGCAGCCGCGGUAAGACGUAGGGGGCAAGCGUUAUCAGGAUUUACUGGGUGUAAAGGGAGCGUAGACGGCAGUGCAAGUCUGGAGUGAAAGGCGGAGGCUCAACCCCCGGACUGCUCUGGAAACUGUACGGCUGGAGUGCAGGAGAGGUAAGUGGAAUUCCUGGAGUAGCGGUGAAAUGCGUAGAUAUUAGGAGGAACACCAGUGGCGAAGGCGGCUUACUGGACUGUAACUGACGUUGAGGCUCGAAAGCGUGGGGAGCAAACAGGAUUAGAUACCCGUGUAGUC
RNAcentral lists this ribosomal RNA (440 nucleotides) under uncultured bacterium. RNAcentral describes it as "partial 16S ribosomal RNA". It matches the Rfam family "Bacterial small subunit ribosomal RNA", at positions 338 to 795 of the family's 1533-position model. The record is from RNAcentral.